RNAcentral lists this unclassified non-coding RNA (243 nucleotides) under air metagenome. RNAcentral describes it as "partial contains small subunit ribosomal RNA, internal transcribed spacer 1, and 5.8S ribosomal RNA". The stretch from base 1 to 46 matches the Rfam family "Eukaryotic small subunit ribosomal RNA", at positions 1786 to 1831 of the family's 1831-position model. The record is from RNAcentral.
AAGUCGUAACAAGGUUUCCGUAGGUGAACCUGCGGAAGGAUCAUUAAAGAGUAAUGGGUGCUUCGGCGCCCGAACUCCCACCCUUUGUUGUCGCGAAUUUGUUGCCUCGGCGGGUUGCCCCUCUUCGGGGGGCGACGGGUCUCGGCCCACCCGCCGCAGGACAUCCACAACCCUGCUUUAACCAUAAAGUCUGAGUAAAUUCUAAAUGAAUCAAAACUUUCAACAACGGAUCUCUUGGUUCUG